UACGGAGGGUGCAGGCGUUAUCCGGAUUCACUGGGUUUAAAGGGUGCGUAGGUGGGUCUGUAAGUCAGUGGUGAAAUCUCCGGGCUUAACCCGGAAACUGCCAUUGAUACUAUAGGUCUUGAAUUUUCUGGAGGUCAGCGGAAUAUGUCAUGUAGCGGUGAAAUGCUUAGAUAUGACAUAGAACACCAAUUGCGAAGGCAGCUGGCUACAGGAACAUUGACACUGAGGCACGAAAGCGUGGGGAUCAAACAGG
This 253-nucleotide ribosomal RNA is filed under the name uncultured bacterium. RNAcentral describes it as "partial 16S ribosomal RNA". It matches the Rfam family "Bacterial small subunit ribosomal RNA", at positions 524 to 776 of the family's 1533-position model. The record is from RNAcentral.